AUCUUUUUAAUAUAAAAGUAUAAUUGACUUCCAAUCAAUAAGUCUGGUUUUCCAGAAAAGAUA
Molecule: transfer RNA, 63 nt
Filed under: Typhlatya galapagensis
Lineage: Eukaryota; Metazoa; Arthropoda; Malacostraca; Decapoda; Atyidae
Description: tRNA-Gly
Source: RNAcentral